CCCUUAGAUGUCCUGGGCCGCACGCGCGUUACACUGAUGCAUUCAACGAGCUUAUAACCUUGGCCGAGAGGCCUGGGCAAUCUUGUUAACGUGCAUCGUGAUAGGGAUAGAUUAUUGAAAUUAUUAAUCUUGAACGAGGAAUUCCUAGUAAACGCAGAUCAUCAAUCUGCAUUGAUUACGUCCCUGCCCUUUGUACACACCGCCCGUCGCUACUACCGAUUGGAUGGUUUAGUGAGAUCCUCGGAUUGGUCCCGGCAUGGUGGGUUACCGCCGCGCCGGCGCGCCGAAAAGACGAUCAAACUUGAUCAUCUAGAGGAAGUAAAAGUCGUAACA
Molecule: ribosomal RNA, 333 nt
Filed under: uncultured eukaryote
Lineage: Eukaryota
Description: partial 18S ribosomal RNA
Rfam family: Eukaryotic small subunit ribosomal RNA
Source: RNAcentral